CCCUAGAAGUCUGCCAAGGUGGGGUUGGA
RNAcentral lists this non-coding RNA (29 nucleotides) under Homo sapiens (human). The record is from RNAcentral. Lineage: Eukaryota; Metazoa; Chordata; Mammalia; Primates; Hominidae.